UCAAUCUCCUUACUCCAAAACCAUACUCAUGCUAAAAAUUCCUCUCUAAUUUGUAUACAAGUUUUGAGUAUGAGUAAGGUUUUAGAGAACGGAGUAUGAGUUUGAGCACAGAGUAACCUCCAGGCCUGCCCUGGCUCAUCCUUGCAGCGACGCGGAGUACACGAAGCAAAACGGGGACAGGGAACCAGGCUAGGUGUACAAAAACACAUAUGUAUGAUGUUAAUAAAAAAAAGAAAGAAACGACGAGAGAACGGUUUGUGUAUACUACGGCCUAAAUGUACGAUCCUCUCCCAUUCUUGGUUCUAUGCCUAUGAGCGGACUCUGAAUGGUAACCGUGGCUUGAGACGAUGAUCAUGAAGUUCAAGUUGAUGUUUCUGACGAAGACGAUUAACUGUGGUACCCGUAUUAUUUUUGAAGACGUUUUAAGACUCAGGGGUAUGUCAUCGAUUUGAAAGAACGAUCUUUUCUGAAGAAUGUCUAAGAUAUAUUGGCAUCUCAUUCUGGAGUUUAACUUAAUUAACAUAAAAAGUUUUUAAGUGCAUGUUUGUAAACAUGUAAAUGAAGUAGAAAACACACCAAGAACCAGGAAUGCCAGGACCUAAGCUAAAACUUUCUGAUUGACCAUGUUGACAUCAACACUGAACAUUUGGAACAGAAAACAAUCUACAGAGAUACAUGUACUGAAGAAAUACCUGCUGUUGAAAAAAAACCCUAGCUAAGACAUGUUUGUUUUUAUUUACAAACAACAUGAUCAGGUAGAAACAACAAUAUAACUCAAAUUGCUGCAUCUGUUGGAGCACCCAUCUUUAGCAGAAAUUUUACUUGAAUUUACAGCAUUUCCAUCAAGGCAUCAAAGCAUGAAUUGAUCGUUGUAACUUACAUGUAACAUCCCUUGCAAGAUUAUUUAACCCUUAUGAGAAAUCACAAAAUGCAGUGAAUGACUUGAAAUUUAGACCUUUGCUCAACACUAAGGCCCAGUGAGGAGUGAAGGUUCUUUAGCGUGCCAAUGCCUGCUCUUACAUGGGACCUCAACUUUUACUGUCUCAUCCAAGACCUCCAACUUUCACUUUAUUGUGCCAAGUGCUAGUGUUGCUGUUUGGGCUGGAACCCUCGACCCAAGAACCAGGAGGGAGCGUUCCACAAAAUGGGUGAUCACAACACCCAUACAGUGAAGAUUCUGAAUUGUUCAAAUCAUGACCCCCAGGGGUAGGGUGUGGCCACAAUUGGGAACCUCCAAGCAUAAUUAAGAGAUGCAAUUACAUGUAUUUUAUAAUGGCUCGUUGUGUACUUGUACAUAGGAAGAACAAUGAAGACAGAAAGGUGUAUGUAACAAAAGUAAAUGAAAACUUAGCUCAAGCAAUGUUCGGGAAGAGUGAUUUUGUUUUUUCAAAUACAUGAGCAUGUCAUAAUGAUUUAAAAAGCGUUAAAAGCUGCUUUUUUGUACAUCUUCCACAAAUGUAUUGUUACAGCAUCAGAAUACAUGAUUAGCCACUGAGAAAACUAUUCAUAUAAAACAAAUUGCAUAUUGUUGUUGUACAUUUACACAGCAUGUACAUUACUCAUUACAUUUACAGAUGUGAUGAAAUAUUUAGGUACUCUACAUGUAGUUACUUGUACAGUUGGUGUGAACCGGUUUUACCAAACAUGAAAACAUUUUUGUUAUUUCUCAUCAGAAAAAAAUAAAACUGUAAUAAAAUUUUGGUUAAAAAAAUUAAAGUUUGUAUACCUAAUAGGUAAAUGAAGUGAAAUCAUUAUAAACAAACACAAAAUAUUUUUGAAUAUUUCAGCACAUUUUGAUACUGAUUGGUACUUUUUCAAUACUUCAUAGUUACAUC
Saccostrea echinata is the source of this 1835-nucleotide long non-coding RNA. RefSeq lists it as uncharacterized. The transcript is spliced from 3 exons. The record is from RefSeq and is a predicted model, not a curated record. NCBI's taxonomy places the organism in Eukaryota, Metazoa, Mollusca, Bivalvia, Ostreida, Ostreidae.